GGCAAAGAUGACAAAUGCUACUUCUUACACCUCUUGUAUGAGAACAACUUGACCUAGGUUGUUCUUUGAGCACAGAUUCAGCAACUCGCUGAGCC
Telopea speciosissima is the source of this 95-nucleotide small nucleolar RNA. RefSeq annotates it as small nucleolar RNA snoR1. The transcript has a single exon. NCBI's taxonomy places the organism in Eukaryota, Viridiplantae, Streptophyta, Magnoliopsida, Proteales, Proteaceae. The record is from RefSeq and is a predicted model, not a curated record.